Molecule: long non-coding RNA, 869 nt
Organism: Bubalus bubalis (water buffalo)
Lineage: Eukaryota; Metazoa; Chordata; Mammalia; Artiodactyla; Bovidae
Exons: 3
Source: RefSeq, a predicted model, not a curated record
UUCAUUAGUUCAGUAUGAGGUGAUUUUAGGGCAGAUUUGUCCUGGGUAGCAGAGCUUAGCCUUUGCUGAGUUUUCCAGCUCCUAAACUUCAUCCCUUCCUAAAUUCUUUGCUGGAACACUGUUUCCUCUGGGACUAGGACACUUUGAAUUCCCUUGCUCCAUGCCUUCUGAAAGCUAAAGAUGAGCAGGUUUUUCAACUCUGUCAGCAUACCAAAGGAAUAUUUCUUCAUGCUUUUGGUCAUGAUCUUAUGUGGACUUUGAUGACAGGCAGCCUGAGGGUCCACGGUGGGAGCUGCCUAAAGAAAGACUAUGAUGAUUUCAGAAGACAGCCCAAUCAUGAUAAAUUUACUAGAACUGUGGACUACUGAAUACGGUGAAGGAGAUCUUGCAUAAGAAUCUCCUGAAGUAGAAAUUGGGAGCAAGUCUGUAGAUAGCAAAGAACCUCUAGAUUCUGUAAGAAGAUCAUUUUGAAGAGGAUCAUUUUGAUUCAGAUAGGCCAUCACGCUGUUUUUAAAUCAACACUAACAGCACAAUGAGGAAUUUUAGUGUCGUUCCCUGGUGACUCAGAUGGCAAAGAAUCUGUCUGCUAUUCAAGAGAUCCAGAUUCAGUCCCUUGGUCAGGAAGAUCCCCUGGAGAAGGGAAUGGCAACAAACUCCAGCAUUCUUGCCUGGUGAAUUCUGUGCACAGAGGAGCGUGGCAGCCUACAGCCCAUGGGGUUGCAGAGAGUUGGACAUGGCUAAGCAACUAACACACACACAGGCAUUCAAACUCUUUAAAUCAACACUAAAGCACAAAGAGAUAUUUUAGUGUCUUUUGUGGAGGUAAAGGAAUAACCUGGUUAAUAAAGUUUAUUGAUUGGAGAAAUCUA